AGUGAACGCUGGCGGUAGGCCUAACACAUGCAAGUCGAACGGCAGCACAGUAAGAGCUUGCUCUUACGGGUGGCGAGUGGUGGACGGGUGAGGAAUACAUCGGAAUCUACUUUUUCGUGGGGGAUAACGUAGGGAAACUCACGCUAAUACCGCAUACGACCUACGGGUGAAAGCAGUGGAUCUUCGGACCUUGCGCGAUUGAAUGAGCCGAUGUCGGAUUAGCUAGUUGGCGGGGUAAAGGCCCACCAAGGCGACGAUCCGUAGCUGGUCUGAGAGGAUGAUCAGCCACACUGGAACUGAGACACGGUCCAGACUCCUACGGGAGGCAGCAGUGGGGAAUAUUGGACAAUGGGCGCAAGCCUGAUCCAGCCAUACCGCGUGGGUGAAGAAGGCCUUCGGGUUGUAAAGCCCUUUUGUUGGGAAAGAAAAGCAGCAGGUUAAUACCCCGCUGUUCUGACGGUACCCAAAGAAUAAGCACCGGCUAACUUCGUG
RNAcentral lists this ribosomal RNA (492 nucleotides) under uncultured bacterium. Its description in RNAcentral is "partial 16S ribosomal RNA". It matches the Rfam family "Bacterial small subunit ribosomal RNA", at positions 29 to 507 of the family's 1533-position model. The record is from RNAcentral.